This 253-nucleotide ribosomal RNA is filed under the name uncultured bacterium. RNAcentral describes it as "partial 16S ribosomal RNA". It matches the Rfam family "Archaeal small subunit ribosomal RNA", at positions 474 to 727 of the family's 1478-position model. The record is from RNAcentral.
UACCAGCACCCCGAGUGGUCGGGACGUUUAUUGGGCCUAAAGCAUCCGUAGCCGGUUCCACAAGUCUUCCGUUAAAUCCAACUGCUUAACAGGUGGGCUGCGGAAGAUACUAUAGAGCUAGGAGGCGGGAGAGGCAAGCGGUACUCGAUGGGUAGGGGUAAAAUCCGUUGAUCCAUUGAAGACCACCAGUGGCGAAGGCGGCUUGCCAGAACGCGCUCGACGGUGAGGGAUGAAAGCUGGGGGAGCAAACCGG